GAUGAACGCUGACAGAAUGCUUAACACAUGCAAGUCUUUGGCGAAGCUGUGCUUGCACAGCCUAGCCAAGGCGGACGGGUGAGUAACGCGUAAGGAACUUGCCCUGCAGUCAGGGAUAACAGACGGAAACGACUGAUAAGACCUGGUAAAGUCAGGCGGACUCAUGUCCAGCCUGAUGAAAAGAGAUGCUGCAGGAGAGCCUUGCGUCCUAUUAGCUUGUUGGUGGGGUAACGGCCCACCAAGGCGAUGAUAGGUAGCCGGCCUGAGAGGGUGGACGGCCACAAGGGGACUGAGAUACGACCCUUACUCCUACGGGAGGCAGCAGUGGGGAAUAUUGGACAAUGGGGGCAACCCUGAUCCAGCAAUUCUGUGUGCACGAUGAAGGUUUUCGGAUUGUAAAGUGCUUUCAGCAGGGAAGAAAAAAAUGACGGUACCUGCAGAAGAAGCGACGGCUAAAUACGUG
Molecule: ribosomal RNA, 463 nt
Filed under: uncultured bacterium
Lineage: Bacteria
Description: partial 16S ribosomal RNA
Rfam family: Bacterial small subunit ribosomal RNA
Source: RNAcentral